Molecule: long non-coding RNA, 1115 nt
Organism: Capsicum annuum
Lineage: Eukaryota; Viridiplantae; Streptophyta; Magnoliopsida; Solanales; Solanaceae
Exons: 4
Source: RefSeq, a predicted model, not a curated record
UACAAACAUAAUUAAUACAUCAUAUUUUAUAUUAUUCUUAUACACUCUAUCAAAUGAUCCCUUAAAGAUUAUUUGCAGAAAGUCUAAUCAAACACAAUUUCGAUUUCGACUUUAAAAUUUUUAAAUGAAAGGAAUUAUAUUUGAUUUUCACGACCAAAUAUGUUAUUUUUGUUUAAAAAGCCCUUUUGCCUCAAUAUUCUACAGACGGCAAGAGUAAAAAAGGAAAAUUGAAAAGAAAAAGGAAUUCUAUAAGCAAAGGGUAUUCGCGCGUUCGGUUUGCGUUCCCUCCAAAACUUAUCUCGGUCGUCCGUCAGGGCAAAAAUAUUCGCUUCACUGGCAACAGUGCUUGAAGCCUCAACCUUGAGGAUGGAACCUUUGAAGUUUUAAGCACAGGGCUUGGAAUGCUGUAGCAAGAUUGUCUCCACAAGAGGAUUACAUCAAUUAUGGUUUGCUAUCUGUUUUCGAAUUAUGGGUAUUUAUGUAUAUUCAGUUCAGAACCAUCCAGAUCUAUCAUUGAGGUGCAUCACUAUUGGAACGUUCCAGAUUAAGAGUGUGUGGGCUCGAAAGCAAGAAAAAUCUCAUGAUUGUAGCCGACCAGACCAUUAUAGCUUCAUGAUCACAUGAUGGCUAUUUUUGUAGUGACAUGUCUAAUGGGACCCGUCAUCCUAUGCCAUAAGUGCUAAUUUUCACUCUGGGAAUUUCUCAUUAGAUCAAGACAUUUCCUUUUCUGCAACCACUCAAGCAGCUGGGACAGUUGGAUCUUCUCAGGCCCAGUGAUGCUGACUCCCACAUGAAGCAAUAUAUGUCCUCCAAUGCCGUGCACACAGAAAAGUUCCAUUGAGCAUCAUUUCUUUUGACCGGUAAUAUUCCACUAUGGUGGUACUUUGCCAACUUAUAUGAAUCAGAUCUUUUUCCGAACUGUCCAUGCAAACUUAGUGUAAGAUAAAGCACAGUGGAAGAAAAAAAAAUCCAUGAAUGUGUCACCAAUUUAUUGAAACUAUGUUUUUGUCAUGUUAGGACAUUUACUUGAGGACCUAUGCUUUCUAGAAGUCUUUUAGCUCUCACAGAUUUUUAUGCCAGUAUAAUAUAUAGGGAACUUCUAGUAUAUUAUUUUA